ACUGACUGUAUACAGGCAAUUGGAAAAUUCAUUAUUAUUACAUUAUACAGGUGUAUCGUAUCAUCUGUUUAUUAUAAGAAGCAAUAUUAUUUUGUAGCUGUCGCUUUAGUGUCAGGGUUCUGUCACUUCGGUCUGUUUAUUCUUGGUUUGGUGACAGAGCUCUGACACUGCUUGUGUCUUGUCUUGUUGUGAGCGCGACAAUGUGCCCUUCUGUUUAGGUGUUAUCUGUUUAUUGGUUAGUUUUUCCGACUGGAUUGUCUUUGUUGGUCAUGGUAUGUCUUUGUAUGUUGCCAAAUCGUUGACUUGUGCUUCCCUUCAUGUUUUCCCUGCAUUGCGUCAUGUCGCAUGAAGUCGUAUCAAGUCAAUUCAAGUCUUUUCCCCCUCUGUGUAGUUUUUGUUGUUCGGUUUAUUUUAUUAAUUUAAAUGUCACAGUAUGGUGACAUUUAAAUGCUUAAGGUCUUUAAAGAAGGAUGAUUUCUGAUUGGCUAUCAAUGUUUUUAUUAUUCAUCAACAGGAAAAAAUGUCCUGUAUUAUUCUCGUUAUAGUGGUGGUGUGGACUACUUUAGUCUAAUAGUAUAUUAUAGCAGUUAUUAAAACCUUAUAGUUAUUAUCCCUGGUGUGAACAGGCCUUUCGGCAUUACAGCUUGUUGGAGGGCACCCACCUCAAAGAGCUCCUCUGGAUCCUUGUUUCCAUCCAGCUCAAAUAAAUAUGGGGGAUUAUGGUCUGCCAUGUAAUCCUACACAUCAAGCAUAAGUAUAACUGCUAUUUGUCUCAAUAAUAGUGUGUAUUCAGGUGUGUGUAAUAGGUGCCAUUACCUCAAGAGGCCUGAGAAUGGUGUCUUUAUAGCGCAUGAUCCUGCUCUUGGCAUUCUCUGGGGUCCCACUUCUCCUUCUGGAACACCCGGCCUGUCUCCGGAUGUUGACGCUCUCCUGAUAGCCUGUGGAUCAGGUAAUCCUCUGAAAUUGAUGGCAAACAGGCCAGGACAUAACCUGCUCAACCACCAUUCAAACAAGUCAUUACAAAUAUAUAUUAACAGAUUUUAAAACAAUUAUUUAUUAAAUUAUGUUAUUUUAGUUGUUUCUUAUCCUCACC
This is a non-coding RNA of Pimephales promelas (fathead minnow), 1093 nucleotides long. Lineage: Eukaryota; Metazoa; Chordata; Actinopteri; Cypriniformes; Leuciscidae. The record is from RefSeq and is a predicted model, not a curated record.